Small nucleolar RNA from Cucurbita pepo subsp. pepo (vegetable marrow), 78 nucleotides. RefSeq annotates it as small nucleolar RNA Z155. Lineage: Eukaryota; Viridiplantae; Streptophyta; Magnoliopsida; Cucurbitales; Cucurbitaceae. The record is from RefSeq and is a predicted model, not a curated record.
UAUUGAGGUGAUGAUCUUAUUUUUUCUGAAUCUAUGCUUGUAGACUUCAAAAUUCAGACUACAAUUAUCUGAUCAAUG